This is an RNA transcript of Sceloporus undulatus (fence lizard), 5336 nucleotides long. It is a transcript of the gene named phosphatidylinositol-4,5-bisphosphate 3-kinase catalytic subunit beta, with no coding region annotated. NCBI's taxonomy places the organism in Eukaryota, Metazoa, Chordata, Lepidosauria, Squamata, Phrynosomatidae. The transcript is spliced from 27 exons. The record is from RefSeq and is a predicted model, not a curated record.
CGCUUGCAAGAGGAGAAGAGGAGGGCAGCUGCGGAGGGGAGCCUGGGACCCCCGCCUCCGCCGCCCAGACAGGUGAGUCAGGACCCUGGGCCUCCCUCCCUCCCUCCUCCUUGGGGGCCUCCAUCUCCUCUUGAACCAGCUUCAAAACUGAGUUGAAGAGCAUCCUGUGCAGGGAAGCCUCCCAGACCUUACAGGUAUAAUUGCAAGAUUGGUUUGUAGCUGAAGGUUACACCAUAGUUUCCUGGUUCAAAUGCAACUACAAAAAAAUAACAUUAUAUGAGGUCUGUAGACAGUUGCAUUCCUAAACACACUUCAUUUGAAAGCUGUGAGAUUUCUUUAAAAGGACAGGUGUAUCAUCUGGUAAAGCCUCCCAAGAAUAAAAAGAAACCAAGAGAAACCAUGGCUUGCACAAAAAAGCUAAUGCAGCCAAAAGGACAAUAAAACAACACUCUGCAGAAAGACAAAAAUGACAAUGUGGUUAUGAUAUUUAAAAUCUAUGAUGCCUCCUGCCAUGGCAGAUACCCUGGACAUCUGGGCAGUAGAUUCACAGAUAGCAGUUGAUGGCUCAAUAUCUGUGGACUGCCUGCUUCCCACUGGAAUUUACAUCAGUUUAGAUGUUCCUCGUGAUGCCACUAUUUGUUAUAUCAAACAGCUAUUAUGGAAGCAAGCACACGACUACCCUCUGUUUCAUCUUCUUAUGGAGAUCGACUCCUAUAUGUUUUCCUGUGUGAACCAAACAGCUGUACGUGAGGAACUGGAAGAUGAGACACGAAGGCUUUGUGACGUUAGACCAUUUCUUCCUGUCCUUCAACUAAUUACAAGAAGCUGUGACCCAGGGGAAAAAUUGGAUUCUAAAAUAGGUGUCCUCAUAGGAAAAGGCCUCCAUGAGUUUGAUGCCCUACCAGACCCAGAGGUCAAAGAAUUCCGGAUUAAGAUGCGACGAAUCAGCGAAGAAAAAAUGCAUUCACUUGUGAGAUUAUCAUGGAUGGACUGGUUAAAAAAUACUUACCCACCAGAAUUGGAACCAGCAGUUCAGGAAAACCUCCAAGAUAAACUUUAUGGUGGCAAUCUAGUGGUGGCUGUUCAUUUUGAUAACUGUCAGGAUGUAUUUAGUUUUCAGGUGUCUCCUAAUAUUAAUCCCAUCAAGUUGAAUGAGCUGGUAAUUCGAAAACGUUUAACUAUCCAUGGGAGGGAAGAUGAUGAAGUUGACCCUUCUAACUAUGUGCUGCAAGUUAGUGGAAGAUUGGAAUAUGUCUUUGGAGAUCACCCAUUAAUUCAGUUCCAGUAUCUCCAGCGUUGUGUGAUGAGCAGAACUCUUCCACGGCUGACUCUCAUUGAAUGCAGUACCAUUAAAAAAAUGUGUGAACAAGAAAUGAUUGCUAUAGAAGCUGCCAUAAACCGAAAAUCUUCUACCCUUCCACUUCCUCUACCACCAAAAAAGUCACGUGUGACACAAAGUGUAUGGGAUAUUAACCAACCUUUCAAGGUUGUGCUGGUAAAUGGCAACAAGCUGAACACAGAAGAAACUGCCAAAGUUCAUGUCAGGGCCGGUCUCUUCCAUGGAACUGAGCUCCUUUGUAAGCCUAUCGUAAGCUCAGAAAUAUCUGGGAGAAAUGACCAUGUUUGGAAUGAACCCUUGGAAUUUGAUAUUAACAUCUGUGAUUUGCCAAGAAUGGCUAGGCUGUGCUUUGUGGUUUAUGCUGUGAUGGAUAAAAUGAAAAAUAAAAAGUCAGCCAAGACACUCAAUCCGUCCAAAUACCAGACCAUUAGGAAAGCUGGGAAAGUGCACUAUCCUGUAGCAUGGGUCAAUACUAUGGUGUUUGAUUUUAAAGGCCAACUGAAGAGUGGAGACUUUGUGCUGCACAGCUGGUCAUCAUUUCCUGAUGAACUUGAAGAAAUGUUGAACCCAAUGGGAACAGUACAAACAAAUCCAUACACUGAAAAUGCAACAUCUUUGCAGAUAAAAUUUCCAGAGUAUUCAAAAUUUCCUAUUUAUUACCCUCCCUUUGAUAAGAUACUUGAAAAGGCAGCUGAGAUUGCAAGAAGCAGUGAAAGCUCUGGUAUGGCAGGACGUGGUGGGAAAAAGUUCUACAUUGAGUUGAAGGAGAUUAUGGAAAGGGAUCCCUUGUCUCAACUGUGUGAAAAUGAAAUGGAUCUCAUUUGGACUUUACGGUACGACUGUCGUGAAAAUUUUCCACAAUCCUUGCCAAAGUUGUUGCUCUCCGUGAAAUGGAACAAACUUGAAGAUGUUGCUCAGCUUCAGGCUCUUCUUCAAAUUUGGUCCAAACUGCCUCCCAGAGAAGCAUUAGAAUUAUUGGAUUUCAAUUAUCCAGAUCAAUAUGUAAGGGAAUAUGCAGUGAGCUGCUUAAGGCAAAUGAGUGACGAAGAGCUUGCUCAAUAUCUUCUGCAGCUUGUGCAAGUACUGAAAUAUGAACCUUUUCUCGACUGUGCCCUAUCUAGGUUCCUGCUAGAGAAAGCAAUGGCAAAUAGAAGGAUAGGACAGAUGCUGUUUUGGCAUUUAAGAUCAGAAGUGCAUAUUCCUGCAAUUUCAGUGCAGUUUGGCGUGAUACUUGAAGCUUACUGCCGUGGAAGCAUUGCUCACAUGAAAGUACUUUCUAAACAGGUCGAAGCACUGAACAAGAUGAAAACUUUGAAUAAUCUAAUAAAACUGAAUGCCAUGAAGCAAAGCAGAGCUAAAGGAAAAGAAGCAAUGCACACCUGUUUAAAACAAAGAGCAUACAAAGAAGCCCUAUCUGAUCUUCAGUCCCCUCUGAAUCCUUCUGUUUUGCUUUCAGAACUGUAUGUGGAGAAAUGUAAAUACAUGGACUCUAAAAUGAAGCCUUUGUGGAUAGUGUACAAUAACAAAGUGUUUGGUGGAGAUUUGGUGGGAAUCAUCUUUAAAAAUGGAGAUGAUCUCAGGCAAGACAUGUUGACGCUCCAGAUGUUACGCCUGAUGGAUUUACUUUGGAAGGAGGCUGGUCUAGAUCUACGGAUGUUGCCUUAUGGUUGUUUAGCGACAGGAGAUCUUUCUGGCUUAAUUGAGGUGGUUUCUACUUCUGAGACAAUUGCAGACAUUCAGCUAAAUAGCAGUAAUGUUGCUGCUGCUGCUGCAUUCAACAAAGAUGCUCUUUUAAACUGGCUGAAAGAAAACAACACAGGAGAUGACCUGGAUCGUGCCAUUGAAACAUUUACAUUAUCUUGUGCUGGCUACUGUGUAGCUACUUAUGUACUGGGCAUAGGAGACAGACAUAGUGACAAUAUCAUGGUCAGGAAGAAUGGUCAGCUCUUUCACAUAGAUUUUGGACAUAUUCUUGGAAACUUCAAAUCAAAAUUUGGAAUUAAAAGGGAACGAGUGCCUUUCAUCCUCACCUAUGAUUUUAUUCAUGUCAUUCAGCAAGGGAAAACUGGAAAUACUGAAAAAUUUGGUCGGUUUCGCCAGUGUUGUGAAGAAGCAUACUUGAUUCUGCGAAGACAUGGGAACCUCUUUAUCACGCUCUUUGCACUGAUGUUAACUGCUGGGCUUCCCGAACUAACCUCUGUUAAAGACAUCCAGUAUCUGAAGGAUUCCCUUGCCUUAGGAAAGAAUGAUGAAGAAGCACUAAAGCAGUUUAAGCAGAAAUUUGAUGAAGCACUCAGAGAAAGCUGGACCACUAAAGUGAACUGGAUGGCGCACACUGUUAGGAAGGAUUACAGAUCCUAGAUGGUUUAUGAAUUUGCACUAAGCUUAAUGUUACCCUGACAGUAAAGUAUUAAAAGGGAGACAACAGACCUGAGGAAAUUGCUUGAGCAUUUCCUGAUUAUUUUGCACUCUGUUUUGGAAUGCUUUGAUGAGAUUUUGUAAAAUUAGCAGACGUUCUCAAUAAUCACUUCUGCUGACUUUGCACGCAAAAAGCUAUUACUAAGCUUUUAUAUUAUUAUUUUGAUACACUGAGAAACUGUAAAUAUUGGGGAUUUUUUAAAAAAAAGUUUAGGUGGCAUACUCUAACUUUGAAUUGUUAGAGACAUCUUGAACUGAUUGCAAAACAAUGUCAGAGGUUUUUGGAUGUCUUUCAAGUCUUCAAGUGAACAUUGUGUGUGUGCUUGUGUAUAUACAUUUUUUUACUGGCAUUGACAUAUUUGUUCUACUGUAAAUAACAACUGCCAGAUUAUUGUAUAGCCAGAAACUGCUUAUUGUCUUGAACUGCUACCAGAAGAACAGAUAUUUCUAUACUUCAUAAAUGGGAAAUUAAUUUUUUUAAAAAAGAUAAUUUUGCUCAAGUUCUCAAUGCUGGUGUAAAUGUGUUUAGAAUUUGUCUAUAAUUUGGGAACAACCUUGAGCUGUUGAAAAAUUUGCCCAUGGAGUGGACUGUCUUUGUGAAUUAUUGAACCUUGCCUUUUCUUUAGAAGCUUCCAUGAAGAGUUGUCCAGAUGGUUUUCCAGUGACAUCCAUAACAAUUUGUAUAGUUCACAAACACUGUUUAAUCUAUCAUACCAUAUGGUAAGGGAUGAGAAUUGUUGUCCAUGCAAUAUCUGGAGGGUCACACAUCUCCAGUCCUACUUAGAAGUGCACUCUGUAUGGAUGGAUGUAAUUCUUUGUUUGAUCUACUAUCAAGUUGAGGAUCUACAAUCCAUAAAAAGGUUAAACCUUGAUAGGCAACAUAUCAUACAUUUGAAUUUAAGUUACAAUUAUCUCUCUCCUCUUGCUUGUAUCAUUCAUGUUAUUUCUUAUUGGCUUGGCCUUUUCAAGCAUUCUACCCCUUCAAAAAAUUAGACCUGUCAACUUGCAGAAACUAUUUUGUAGACCUUAUUUUCACUUGUGUAUAUUCAGUCUCUUUUCUAUACCUCUCUGGGCUGUUAUAAUAUAUUGCAGCUUUUCAUAACAUUAGAAACUAAUCAAAUGCAAAUCAAAUUAAUGAGUCAAUAGUGGAUUUUACAUUUGGAAUUCUUUAGUUUGAAUUCCCAUUUGUUUUUGUAACUGAAAUGAAUGACACUCUUUCAGUUUUUUCGUCAAGCUAUUAAAAUGAUUGUACAUCCCUAUUGUCACACUAUGCUUAUAAUGGCUUUUUGCUGAAGUUGAUUUCUUUUGAGAGUCUACUACCCUUUAAGUUCACAUUGCACUAGAUUCAAGGGGAAAUGGAAGGAAAACCAAUGCUGUUCUGCCAACUCUUGCAAACAUCAAUAUGAUGUUAUACUAGGUACGUUUGUCCAAACAUUUUCAUGCUUUUGCUUUUAAAAGUAGUUACCCAAGCAAAAGUAUAUAUUCUGAUGUAGCUGCACAUCUGUCAUUCAGUUCUUUAGAUAAAAUAUUUUAUAAUUGGAACAUGUUUUCUCAAUACUGAAAGGUAUCUUAUUGAUCU